Molecule: ribosomal RNA, 253 nt
Filed under: uncultured bacterium
Lineage: Bacteria
Description: partial 16S ribosomal RNA
Rfam family: Bacterial small subunit ribosomal RNA
Source: RNAcentral
UACGUAGGGUGCAAGCGUUAAUCGGAAUUACUGGGCGUAAAGCGUGCGCAGGCGGUUGGGUGUGUCAGAUGUGAAAUCCCGAGGCUCAACCUCGGAACUGCGUCUGAAACUACUCGACUAGAGUAUUGGAGAGGGUAACGGAAUUCACGGUGUAGCAGUGAAAUGCGUAGAUAUCGUGAGGAACACCAGAGGCGAAGGCGGUUACCUGGACAAUUACUGACGCUCAGGCACGAAAGCAUGGGGAGCAAAAGGG